This is a non-coding RNA of Natranaerobius trueperi, 75 nucleotides long. The record is from Rfam. Lineage: Bacteria; Bacillati; Bacillota; Clostridia; Natranaerobiales; Natranaerobiaceae.
CAAAUCUACAGUGAUGUACGACUGACUGAACCGUAAGAAGUCAGCCGAGGUCAUAGUACCGGAUACGGGAAGGAC